RNAcentral lists this ribosomal RNA (253 nucleotides) under uncultured bacterium. RNAcentral describes it as "partial 16S ribosomal RNA". It matches the Rfam family "Bacterial small subunit ribosomal RNA", at positions 524 to 776 of the family's 1533-position model. The record is from RNAcentral.
UACGUAGGGAGCUAGCGUUGUCCGGAAUCAUUGGGCGUAAAGCGCGCGUAGGCGGCCCGGUAAGUCCGCUGUGAAAGUCAAAGGCUCAACCUUUGAAUGUCAGCGGAUACUGCCGGGCUAGAGUCCGGAAGAGGCGAGUGGAACUCCUGGUGUAGCGGUGGAAUGCGCAGAUAUCAGGAGGAACACCGGUGGCGAAGGCGGUGGUCUGGGCCGGCACUGACGCUGAGGAGCGAAAGCGUGGGGAGCAAACAGG